Ictalurus furcatus (blue catfish) is the source of this 4588-nucleotide long non-coding RNA. RefSeq lists it as uncharacterized. The transcript has 2 exons. The record is from RefSeq and is a predicted model, not a curated record. NCBI's taxonomy places the organism in Eukaryota, Metazoa, Chordata, Actinopteri, Siluriformes, Ictaluridae.
AUGACAACGUGAAAGAAAUUUGUUUGAAAUCUUGGCAAAUUUAUUAAAAAUAAAAAACAAAAAUCACAUGUACAUAAGUAUUCACAGCCUUUGCCAUGACACUCACAAUUGAGCUCAGAUGCAUCCUGUUUCCACUGACCAUCCUUGUGAUGUUUCUACAACUUCAUUGGAGUCCACCUGUGGUAAAUUCAGUUGAUUGGACAUGAUUUGGAAAGGCACACAUCUGUCUAUAUAAGGUCCCACAAUUAACAAUGCAUGAAAGAGCGCAAACCAAGCCAUGAGGUCCAAGGAAUUGUCUGUAGACCUCCGAGACAGGAUUGUAUCGAGGCACAGAUCUGGGGAAGGGUACAGAAACAUUUCUGCAGCAUUGAAGGUCCCACUGAGCACAGUGGCCUCUGUCAUCCGUAAAUGGAAGAAGUUUGGAACCACCAGGACUUUUCCUAGAGCUGGCCGCCCAGCCAAACUGAGCGAUCGGGGGAGAAGGGCCUUAGUCAGGGUGGUGAAGAAAAACCCGAUGGUCACUCUGACAGAGCUCCAGCGGGUCUCUGUGGAGAGAGGAGAACCUUCCAGAAGAACAACCAUCUCUGCAGCACUCCACCAAUCAGGGUAUGGUAGAGUGGCCAGAGAGAAGCCGCUCCUCAGUAAAAGGCACAUGACAGCCCGCCUGGAGGACUCUCAGACCAUGAGAAACAAAAUUCUCUGGUCUGGUGAAACAAAGAUUGAACUCUUUGGCCUGAACCUAUAAGUUAUAUGAUUAAUUGAAUGUAUAGAAAUUUGUCACACAUUUUGAACCUUUUCUGUCUGUGCACGAGAAUGCAUAUUCACUUCGUUUUCAUAGCAUGUUAAAUUGAUCAAAACUUUGAAAGUUAUAGAAGGUGUAAAAAGAAAAAAUAUGUAUAUGGGGAAAACAUGUAGCAAAACACAUCCUGUGACACAUACUAUGGUAUGUACAGGGUGCUCAUAUGUUGAUCCUAAUAUCACAUUUAUGCAUGUGAAUUAUAGGGAAGGAUGUUUGAACCAAUAUGAUGUAUGGGUUAAAGAAUGUGCUUUCCCUGAAAAAGGUAGUUUUAGACAGUUAGAACAACUGAAACUUAAUUUAGAGACAAAGGAGAGAGAGACCCCUAAAACAAAGAGCGAAGUGCAGUUUUUGGCUGACUGGAAGGCAUUUGCUGAAUGGCAGAGUGAUAAAAGAGAGAUAUAAAAGAGAGAAAAAAUGUCAGUCAGGACCCUCAUCUGUUUCACAGAGUGCUAAAUUGCAGAAAGCCGAUCCCGACCUGGACUCCGCCCCACUGGGACGCCCACGGCCAGUAAGGAGGAGGAACCUGCAGUUUCAGAGGCUCCUCCUCACGAUGAAGCGGCCCAGCCUACGCCAGUCCAUCCGAACCUGUCAAAACUGAGCCACCAACCCCCACCGAACUAUGCUCCAGCCGUCCUAGCUUCACCGGUGGCGUUACACACGAGAUCCCAAGUGAAGGGACCAACAACAUUGCUGCCUGAGGGCUUCAGACCAACAAAAUCGGACAGAGAAGGGACAGUGCACGUCGUAGUAAAUGCCCCAAUGCUAGAAGUGGCCAGAGAAGGAGGCCCUAUGCUAGUUCACAGACCCUGGACAUUGGAAGACAUCAGGAGCAGCAUGACGCAUCUGACGCAUCUACAAGUAGGAGGACGAAAGUUUGGGGAUGAACUUCAGAUGUUCUGCAGAGAAUUCAGACCCACCACUCAUGAACUACGAUGACUGCUCAUGGCAAAACUUGGCACAGACAGAAUGGUUUUCAGUCAUAGAUUUAGCUAAUGCGUUUUUUCAGUAUAUCUCUUGAUAAAGACAGUUUCAGUUUGCAUUCAUAUUUGACGGACGUCCUUACACUUUCACUCGCUUGUGUUAAGGGUAUUGAGAGUCACUAAUACAACCAAAUGCUAAAGGACAGCUUAGCACCUCUACCACUUUCUCCAGGGCACAGUGUGAAACUGACACCAUUAAGUUGUUGCAGCAUCUUGCCAAAGAAAGCCACAAAGCCAGUCUCUCCAAAUUACAGUAUGUACAACAAGAAGUGAGAUUUCUAGGGCACGACAUCUCCACCAGUGGAAGGAAACUCUCUGCAGACAGUAUCUGCCAUUCAGAAGAUUCCCAAGCCUCUGACGAAGAAACAGGUUCUAUCUUUCCUAGGUAUGUGUUCGUAUCGCAGAACUUUCAUACUAAACUAUUCCAUUCUAGAAGCACCGCUCAGAGAGAUGGCAUAUGCGACAGGUUGGACAGCUCAUUCUCAGGUAAGUUGGAUCGAGUCGCUGCAGAAUAUCCCCCAUGUGUACGUGCAGUAGCAGCAGCUGAGAAACCUGUGGUGGCAUCCAGAGACCUGGUAGGUUACUCAAAAUUGAACCUCUUGGUUCCACAUGAGGUGUUGUUACUCCUACGUGAACAGAAAACCUCACACCUGUCGACCCAACUGUGGCUGCACCAUAUCACUAUACUACUAGACAUGCCGAAUGUCACUAUAAAACAAUGUACUGUCCUUAACCCUGCUACUCUUCUUCCAUCAGAGGGAGAUGGAGAACCACAUGACUGUGUUUACUGACUAACGAAUUCUGCUCCCCUAGAGUUGACCUGAAGGAUGUUCCAUUGGAAAACCCAGAUCUGAUCCUUUUUAUGGACGGGUCAUCGUCACGUGACCCAGAGACAGCAGAAAAAGGCAGCACUUCCAGCUCCAGCCACAGGCCCGCUGCAUGAUCUGAAGCCCAGAGAGUGGAUCGUGAUCAAGGACUUCCACAGGACCAGGUGGAACAAGCCACGGUGGUCUGGGCCCUUUCAGGUUCUCUUUGUCACUCAUUCAGCAGUGAAAGUUAACCAGAGAGCCACAUGGAUGUGUGCGAGCCACUGCAGGAGGGUGCCAGAGCUGGAGAAGAUGGGACUGCAAUAGGAGAACUAGACCGUAAUUCUCUAUCAAGAGGCCUCUAGGAGGACCUAUGCUCACGAGCAACGAUCUGCAUAUACACAUCCACACACAUCAACAUACCAAUCCCACGCGACUCCACGAUAGACGGUCUUAAGUGGUAUCUAGUAGCCUGCGAAAUCACGGACAUGUAAUUUUUGGAGAAAAUGUUGACGACACGGAAACUGUACUCUUAGGAGGACUGAACUUCAUUAGUGCGUACUAUAUAGCCACGUGGCCAGGACAGAGGUUAGACGACGUGACUUUGCUACCGCACCUCUUACGCCCCAAAGCUCCCUGACCACAGACUACUGUUGCAGACUAGACACAAAUCAUUAGAUGUCAACCUGCACAUCCACUCAUACAUACAAACCUAUUCCUAAUUGUGCAUCCUUCUCCUGGUAUAGGUGAUAUCUGUUAGUAAGCCCUGUCAUAGAAAUAAACUCACAAAUCACCGGGACCGUUCCUGACAACACUGAGGGUCCGGGGGUAGACCCUUAAGCUGAAAAGAUAAACCAAAGCAUGAUAUUGAAGUUUAUUGGUUGGAAGACUUAAUGAUGAAUUAUGCCAAUCACAUCGUUGCAGCAGAAAGAGUGCAUGACGCACACACUUUUACCCAAAUUUGGUAUUUAGCUGAUCGUGGUGACGGGACUAAGUGCCUAAGGUGAUGUGAUUUCUAUAGGUCCCACAUAAGCCUGCACAGUUCUUUAGUAGACUAUUGCUGCAGAUUGGAUGACAAUUAGUAGUUAAAAGCCCGUAUGCCAAGAUAUUGGCCACCUCUGUAAACCGUUCUGUAUCGCUUUUUGUCAGAAGAAUCAUUGCCAACAGUGCUACCCACACAACAUCACACGUCCCCUCGUCACGCAGGCACAUAAUGGUUAUUCUAUCUAUGUGUUAUUGAACACAUGCGGUGUGUGAUACGCAACCCUCCGCACUAGCGAGAUGGGGCUUGAUUGGUUGAACUCCGUUUUCAGGGGCUAGAGGUCAUGGAUACUGACUUUUUGUGUUCCUAUAGUCACCGUCAUUCUACUUGUCUUAAUCAUGGCUCCAUGUGUAAUUUCCUGCAUGCGGGGGUGUUUCCUCCGCUCAUUAAGUGCAAUGACUGAUGACCAAACACUGAUGCUAAUUAAAACGUCCACAAAAAGUGACUAUGACCCUUACGAAGACCUGUUUCAUGAUGAAUUCAGUUGAACCGUGAAAGGAUUCUGAAGUUCUGAUGUAUUCACAGCAUAGCAUAAAAUUAACUCUUAAUUUUAGUUAUCAUAUUUUGUAAUGAUAAAAUGGGGGAAAUGUGAGGGAAAUUACUCAUUUUUACUUUGUAAUAGUUUUGUUCUUGUUCAUUUUCUGUUCAUCUGAGGAUAAUGCCUAAGAAGGCCAUGUCAUGUCACUGAGAUCAGUACAGAAUGUUUAUCUGCUUACAGAGACACAAACAUGUUCUUCUGUUCAAGGCUCGUCUGCACAUCUUCCAAGACCCUAAAACAAAGCCUGUUUGAACUCCCUCAACCUGCUUCUUAUCGGUACACAGAAGUGUGUCAUGGUCUACUUUUCAUAUAUAUGGUAGUGGUUCAGCACAAGCGCUUCAGAGCGCUCUCAUUAUUCUAUCCUGCUUUAUUCUAUCCUGUAUUAACCAUCUUUCUGUAAUAAACCUUUUUACGUUCAGGGGA